GGGGCUGUAAAGGUUUCGACGUGUCGGCGAAAGCUGCCCCGUGAUACAGGCCGAGAGUGAGUCUCCUCUCGCUAAUCAAAGGCUCAAAAAAAAGUAAAUGCGAACAACAUCGUUCCUUUUGCUCGUAAAGCUGCCACUGUUGCUGCUUAAUAACCGAUAACAAGGUUCGAGCGUCUGUAGUCUGACUCCGUUAAGGACUACGGACAAACCCCAACGGAUGCUCUAGCAAGGUUUCUCUGGUUGAUUGCUAGCUAAGAUUCAACCACUGCAUCCUGUCAUCCGGGAUAAUGGAUGGUUCCCGCCCAAAGGGUCAGAUGGGCUAAGCCUGUGAAGGAGCGGAAAGUAAAUACCCGUCGCGGACAUCCGUUCAAUUCGGAUCAGCUCCACUU
This 389-nucleotide transfer-messenger RNA is filed under the name Planktothrix sp. FACHB-1355. It matches the Rfam family "transfer-messenger RNA". From Rfam's summary of the family: Bacterial tmRNA, also known as 10Sa RNA or SsrA, is named for its dual tRNA and mRNA-like properties. The record is from RNAcentral. Lineage: Bacteria; Bacillati; Cyanobacteriota; Cyanophyceae; Oscillatoriales; Microcoleaceae. RNAcentral also lists the same sequence under 2 other names.